CUCAGUGCCCACGUCCAGGUGAACCCUGGAGACCGGCCCACAUUGAAGAGGAGCGAGUGGGGCCAAUGGUCACAGAGAAAGGCCUGCCGAGUCUCAGACACCCCGCCCUGCAUCUCAGGCUGCAGCCAGGAGAGGUUCAGGCACCUCCCACAGUCGAGGCCUCUGAGGCCCCCAGAUAAGCCACAGAUCUCCAUGUCUGAGUUCGGUUACUGGAAGACUAUUGUGAUCUUUUCGUGAUGUCCUGUUUCCUUGAUUCUUCAUCUUCCGUGGAGUUUUGUGUUGCUGUUUCACAUUUGAUGUAUCAGUCACAUUCUCCAGGCUUUACCAGCCGCCUUCAGGUGUGUCUUCUCUGACCAGUUGUGUCCCAAAUUCCCCAGGAGUAUCUAUUCUGACUUGGAACAUCUUACUAGUUCACCAGGUGUGACAACCCUGACCUGGCAGACUUCUUUGUCUCCGAGAUACGUCUACCAUGAAUUUGAAUGCCUCUAUAAUUCUCCACGUGUCCACACUGACAUGGGAUGUCUCCCUAAUUACCCAGGUUUGUCUACAGUGACCUGGGAGGUCUUAAUAUUUCCCCAAAUGUGUCUACAGGGAUGUUGGAUGUCUACCACUUCUCCAGGUGUCUCCACUAUAAACUAGGAUAUCAUCCUAAUUCAAGAGUAUGCAGGUUUAUCUACUCUGACAUGGGAAGUCUCCCCAGUACCA
Molecule: long non-coding RNA, 705 nt
Filed under: Equus asinus (donkey)
Lineage: Eukaryota; Metazoa; Chordata; Mammalia; Perissodactyla; Equidae
Description: lncRNA (ENSEASG00005036551.1)
Source: RNAcentral